Molecule: ribosomal RNA, 119 nt
Organism: Gadus morhua (Atlantic cod)
Lineage: Eukaryota; Metazoa; Chordata; Actinopteri; Gadiformes; Gadidae
Source: Ensembl
CAAGGCGGCCAUACAACCCUGAACACACCUGAUCUCAUCAGAUCUCGGAAGCUAAGCAGGGUCGGGGCUGGUUAGUACUUGGAUGGUAGACCGCCUGGGAAUACCAGGUGCUGUAAGUG